Molecule: small nuclear RNA, 22 nt
Filed under: Arabidopsis thaliana (thale cress)
Lineage: Eukaryota; Viridiplantae; Streptophyta; Magnoliopsida; Brassicales; Brassicaceae
Description: snRNA_18923
Source: RNAcentral
UUCUAAUGUGCCUUGUUCACAG